CCUACGGGAGGCUGCAGUGAGGAAUAUUGGUCAAUGGGCGCGCGCCUGAACCAGCCAAGUAGCGUGAAGGCUGACUGCCCUACGGGUUGUAAACUUCUUUUAUAACGGAAUAAAGUGAGGCACGUGUGACUUUUUGUAUGUCCUUUAUGAAUAAGGAUCGGCUCACUACGUGCUCGCAGCCGCGGUAAUACGGAUGAUCCGAGCGGUAUCCGGAUUGAUUGGGUUUAAAGGGAGCGUAGAUGUGUUGUUAAGUCAGUUGUUAAAGUUUGCGGCUCAACCGUAAAAUUGCAAUUGAUACUGGCAGUCUUGAGUACAGUAGAGGUAGGCGGAAUUAGUGGUGUAGCGGGGAAAUGCUUAGAUAUCACGAAGAACUCCGAUUGCGAAGGCAGCUUACUAAACUGCCACUGACAUGGAGGCUCGAAAGUGUGGGUAUCAAACAGGAGUAGAUACCCCUGUAGGC
RNAcentral lists this ribosomal RNA (460 nucleotides) under uncultured bacterium. RNAcentral describes it as "partial 16S ribosomal RNA". It matches the Rfam family "Bacterial small subunit ribosomal RNA", at positions 338 to 795 of the family's 1533-position model. The record is from RNAcentral.